CCCAUCAGUGGCGAACGGGUGAGUAACACGUGAGUAACCUGCCCCAGACUCUGGAAUAAGCGCUGGAAACGGCGUCUAAUACCGGAUACGAAACGAAGCUGCAUGGCUAUCGUUUGGAAAGUUUUUCGGUUUGGGAUGGACUCGCGGCCUAUCAGCUUGUUGGUGAGGUAAUGGCUCACCAAGGCGACGACGGGUAGCCGGCCUGAGAGGGCGACCGGCCACACUGGGACUGAGACACGGCCCAGACUCCUACGGGAGGCAGCAGUGGGGAAUAUUGCACAAUGGGCGAAAGCCUGAUGCAGCGACGCCGCGUGAGGGAUGACGGCCUUCGGGUUGUAAACCUCUUUCAGCAGGGAAGAAGCGCAAGUGACGGUACCUGCAGAAGAAGCACCGGCUAACUACGUGCCAGCAGCCGCGGUAAUACGUAGGGUGCGAGCGUUGUCCGGAAUUAUUGGGCGUAAAGAGCUUGUAGGCGGUUUGUCGCGUCUGCCGUGAAAAUUCGAGGCUCAACCUCGAACUUGCGGUGGGUACGGGCAGACUAGAGUGUGGUAGGGGAGACUGGAAUUCCUGGUGUAGCGGUGAAAUGCGCAGAUAUCAGGAGGAACACCGAUGGCGAAGGCAGGUCUCUGGGCCACUACUGACGCUGAGAAGCGAAAGCAUGGGGAGCGAACAGGAUUAGAUACCCUGGUAGUCCAUGCCGUAAACGUUGGGAACUAGGUGUGGGUCUCAUUCCACGAGAUCCGUGCCGCAGCUAACGCAUUAAGUUCCCCGCCUGGGG
RNAcentral lists this ribosomal RNA (778 nucleotides) under Janibacter sp. 83ND37. RNAcentral's name for it is "bacterial SSU rRNA". It matches the Rfam family "Bacterial small subunit ribosomal RNA", at positions 88 to 878 of the family's 1533-position model. Lineage: Bacteria; Bacillati; Actinomycetota; Actinomycetes; Micrococcales; Intrasporangiaceae. The record is from RNAcentral.